AACCUCAGUCUGGGCGAUCUGCUGGUAUCCCUGUUCGGAGUCACCUUCACCUUCGCGUCGUGCCUGCGGAACGGCUGGGUGUGGGACGCCGUGGGCUGCGCGUGGGACGGGUUUAGCGGCAGCCUCUUUGCUCAACAGGGCAUCUCACAGUGGGGGAAAGAAACCAGGGCCUGUAGAGUCCAGAGAUGCAAGAAAAAAGUCAACUCUUGAAGAGUGGAGGCGGGGACAAGGAAAGAUUUAAUUAAUAAAUGAAGUAUUUGUUUCUUAAA
RNAcentral lists this long non-coding RNA (269 nucleotides) under Rattus norvegicus (Norway rat). RNAcentral's name for it is "long non-coding RNA NONRATT009011". The record is from RNAcentral. Lineage: Eukaryota; Metazoa; Chordata; Mammalia; Rodentia; Muridae.